RNAcentral lists this ribosomal RNA (439 nucleotides) under uncultured bacterium. RNAcentral's name for it is "partial 16S ribosomal RNA". It matches the Rfam family "Bacterial small subunit ribosomal RNA", at positions 339 to 795 of the family's 1533-position model. The record is from RNAcentral.
CUACGGGUGGCUCCAGUGAGGAAUAUUGCACAAUGGGGGGAACCCUGAUGCAGCAACGCCGCGUGGAGGAUGACGCAUUUCGGUGUGUAAACUCCUUUUAUAUGUCAAGAAAAUGACGGUAGCAUAUGAAUAAGCACCGGCUAACUCCGUGCCAGCAGCCGCGGUAAUACGGAGGGUGCAAGCGUUACUCGGAAUCACUGGGCGUAAAGGACGCGUAGGCGGGUUGGAAAGUCAGGUGUGAAAUCCUACAGCUUAACUGUAGAACUGCACUUGAAACUUCUAAACUAGAGUAUGGGAGGGGGAGAUAGAAUUAGUGGUGUAGGGGUAAAAUCCGUAGAUAUCACUAGGAAUACCGAAGGCGAAGGCGAUCUCCUGGAACAAUACUGACGCUAAGGCGUGAAAGCGUGGGGAGCAAACAGGAUUAGAUACCCUAGUAGUC